CGUACACUCCUGCGGGAGGCAGCAGUGGGGAAUCUUGCGCAAUGGGCGAAAGCCUGACGCAGCCAUGCCGCGUGAAUGAUGAAGGUCUUAGGAUUGUAAAAUUCUUUCACCGGGGACGAUAAUGACGGUACCCGGAGAAGAAGCCCCGGCUAACUUCGUGCCAGCAGCCGCGGUAAUACGAAGGGGGCUAGCGUUGCUCUGAAUUACUGGGCGUAAAGGGAGCGUAGGCGGACAUUUAAGUCAGGGGUGAAAUCCCGGGGCUCAACCUCGGAAUUGCCUUUGAUACUGGGUGUCUUGAGUAUGAGAGAGGUGUGUGGAACUCCGAGUGUAGAGGUGAAAUUCGUAGAUAUUCGGAAGAACACCAGUGGCGAAGGCGACACACUGGCUCAUUACUGACGCUGAGGCUCGAAAGCGUGGGGAGCAAACAGGAUUAGAAACCCCUGUAGUCCCAUG
RNAcentral lists this ribosomal RNA (453 nucleotides) under uncultured organism. RNAcentral describes it as "partial 16S ribosomal RNA". It matches the Rfam family "Bacterial small subunit ribosomal RNA", at positions 330 to 799 of the family's 1533-position model. The record is from RNAcentral.